Molecule: unclassified non-coding RNA, 342 nt
Filed under: soil metagenome
Description: partial contains 5.8S ribosomal RNA, internal transcribed spacer 2, and large subunit ribosomal RNA
Rfam family: 5.8S ribosomal RNA (bases 1-120)
Source: RNAcentral
GAUGAAGAACGUAGUGAAAUGCGAUAAGUAGUGUGAAUUGCAGAAUUCAGUGAAUCAUCGAAUCUUUGAACGCACAUUGCGCCUCCUGGUACUCCGGGAGGCAUGCCUGUUCGAGCGUCAUCAAAAACCUCAACCCAUGAUUUAUUGUGAGUUGGUUCUGCAUUGGACUCCUUGUGGGUCCUUUGCGAAAUCCAAUGGCGAAGAGCCACGCAACCAAAGCGUAGUAUAACUAUUUCGUUAUGGAAGCGUGGGUGCCUCUGCCGUAACCCCCAAUUUCUUAGUUUUUGACCUCGGAUCAGGUAGGGAUACCCGCUGAACUUAAGCAUAUCAAUAAGCGGAGGA